This is a long non-coding RNA of Urocitellus parryii (Arctic ground squirrel), 698 nucleotides long. RefSeq lists it as uncharacterized. The record is from RefSeq and is a predicted model, not a curated record. Lineage: Eukaryota; Metazoa; Chordata; Mammalia; Rodentia; Sciuridae.
AUGACCCUGAAAGACAGGCUCAGCAAGAAUCAUCACCCCCAUGUGCAGAUAAGAACCCUGGAGCCUGAGCACAGGGUGGCUCUGCCCGAGUUUGCACGGCAGCCCUGACCUGGCCAUUGGGAGGGUCUGCCAAACCCACUGCCUUCUGUGAGGACCGUCACCCACACAACGGGGGAGUCUCGAUGCCAUGUUUCUGAUACACGCCUCUCUCCUGGGGAUCAGGACGGGAGCCAGAAGAGGGAGGAACAGUGAAAGAGAUGAGAGAAAAGAAAAUGAACGUAGAGAAAACCAGGAGGCAGGAAGGCACUGCUUUAGAAGUCUGAUUUAACGACAAUGUUCCGGAGCAAGUCGGGGAGCACCCAGUCCAACCUCCCAAACAUCGAAGCCUUCCUCUGCAUCUCUGGCCAACGUCCAGACGGCACUGCCAAAGGGAGGAGGUGACAUCUGGAGGCUGAGUUAUGAGAGGUGUUAGGUCUGGGAAUGGGGGAAAAAUGACUUUUCAUUUUAAAAUAAUUUCAGACUUGGGAAAAAAAAAUGAAGGUAAGACAAAAAUACAAAUGUCUUUACCCAGAAUAUCUAGAUGCAUAUUUUCUAAAGAUAAGGCCAUUUCUUUAUAUAACAGAGUAGAAAGAUCAAAAUCAGAAAAUUAGUAUUGAUGCAAUGCUAUUAAUCUGAUCUAUGAGUUUAUCCAAAUUGUA